UGCGCAGUGGCCCCUCCAGUGUUUUCAAGUUGAUGUAGAUAGUAAUAUGUGCAACACUGCAACAUCCUAGAUUUGAUAGGUAGGUUAGCUGGCGGAUGUCUCAUCCCUGAGAAUUAGGGGUUUGAUUCUACUUAUUCUUUUUUUUUCCUUUUAGGACGUACAUAGAUUAUUUAUUUUAUUUUCACGCUACUAAUAUUUUCUUGUCGACAUUAUACUAUAUUUUACACUUUUUACUAAAACGUUUACAUUUUUAAAUACCUGUCCUAUAGUAAGAGAAACUUUGUUUUAACUUUUGAUAUUUUGAACACUCUUUACAUGCUUAUAUAAUGUUUCCCCUCUUAAGUUUAUGUCAAGCUCCACCACGGUUGUUGCUAUUGAUGUUGUUUGUCGGAGAAGUGGGAACAAGGGUUUUCACUUUAUCAUAUGCUUGGGUCACUAUGAGCCCCACUUUGUCUCAAGGGGAAGAUGGCGCACGGCAUCAACCUUUGCCCCAAGCUCACGAAGAUGACCUGAGGAAGACAACAGCCCGUGGACAAGUCCUUCAGACCCCGGGGCUGAAACGUCUAACCUGGGUGGAUUAGGGCCCCGAGCCCCCGAGGAUAGCAGCAGGACUCGAGGUCUCCCCGAAGGAAUCUGGCCCAUUAAGAGGAUUUGACUAGGUCUUGUGCGUUAUUUUAUCCUAUCAUUUUGCAUUAAUUACGGGGUGAUACAAAUCUUGUGAGCUUAUCAUAGGCGACAUAGGAGAUGUGGUUGUGCAUGCUGCCUCUCACGCGCCCACGUCACCUUGGAGAAAAAGGUUUGCGAUGUGCCACGCCCUCAACUAUCACCCCAAGCCCUCCCUGUCAGCUUCGGUGGUUGAUAGGUGGGCCUAGGGACAAAUAAGAUGAAGACUUUGCGGCCUUGCUCCAGAUGUUAGCUAGUAGGUGAGCCCAUUCCAUCCGACCGGCCUACUUGGAGGGACAGCGACAAGACCAAGCAAACCAACCCUUGUGUAUUGGGUCCCUCUUUCAUAUGCAUGCAUGGGCAUUGUGGAUAGGCCUGCUAAUAGGUUGGGUGGGAAUUGGUAUAAUGGAUUGGUUUUCAUUUUGGGUAGAAAUGGUCUAACGAAGCUGUUGGGUUGGGGCAGUUUGGACUUUGCUGAAAGUGGAUUGGAUCGAUCUGGUUUUCGGUCAUAUACCUUUGGGUCCAAAAUGGGUUCAACCCAUGGAUUUUCAUUGAAUCGUCCCCAAAUCCUCUAUGCUAGCUUGAUGGACACACUCAUCUUCCUCGUGAGCACAAGGAUGCCCAAGGCAUGCCCGUCGGCAUGCGUCGUCGUCGAUUCGGGCUUGGACGCCAUGCGCGUUAACUUCAAGCACCUUUCAACCAUGAGGUAGUUCGAGGACCUCGCGGCGAAAAUCUUAGGGAGAAAGGAGAUGGUGCGUUCGUAGGAGAUCUUCGUUGGCGACAAGUACAAGCAGCAAUAGUCCGCCGCCACACUCGCUUUCCUCAUGGAUGCAACUAGGUCGACUAUGACGAACAUCCGAGAAAGGAGAGCAUCGACUAUGACGACAUCCGAGAAGUAGCCUCGAGCGGCCAGAAAUCAUCUAUUUGCUGGGAAUCAGGCGCCGGCAAGGACAACUCCUCGAAGAUCUACCACUUGGUGCGUCAUCCACAAGACGACCAAUCACUCUUUUACGGACUGCAAGGUGGUGCAACACGUGAGAGCUGAACUCGAAGCCUGCAAGGAACGGGGUAUUCAGCGUGCUUCACCAACCAAGACCACCUGGUGUCUGAUCCAUAAGUCAAGACUCAAGAGGACAUGAGCUCUUAGGCUGCAAAGUCUUCCUUGACGCCACCAAACCUCCACGCCCUCAGAUCCAAGAACGACGAGUUCAAACUCGAAGCGUUGCAUAGGAACAGAGCCCAGGGAGCUCCUGACCGUUUCGGGAUUCAUUGGUAUGGACCCCCACGAGGCCUCGGUUUUACAUAGCUUGGAGGAUCUAGAGUCCUCGGCACCUAAUACUCUACGAAAGGUGAACGUAAUCGAGGGAGUAGUCCGAGUAAUCAAAAUCCAACUGCUCGGGCGACCACAGAUCCCAUCUGUACUCCCGCCAAGCAUUUGAACACAAUCAACUCAAUAUUAAGAUAGAGCCCUUUUGAUCCGGUCAUGUUCCCUGAUGGCGGGUCGAACGACUACGAUCCACAAUGGUGAAUCUCAAUAGUGCUUUUGCGGCGGCGACUGGACCUCCGGCUCAAGAUCCUCCUCAACUCCCAGCUCGAGGAGAAGAGGUGCACGUCGACGGCAGUGUCGAAGAAGACCCCAACGAACAUUCGAGCUGAGAUCCUGGUCGUAACCUCCCAAUACCUCACCUCGAGGACCUCGUCAGGGGACCCCACCCCUCAAGAUAAUCGCGAUUUACGUGACCACUUGAACGGGCGCCGACGGGAACGACGAGAACAAGACAACGCUCACCGACAUCAGCGCCGUUCACCUCGACGCAAUAAUGACGACAACCGAGCGUUCACUCCAACAUUGCGAGAAAUACGGUGGAUCGAAAAAUUCUAACCAGGAGCGAUGGAAGCACCGUCCCUGAGGAAUUCCUCCAUGUUUAUUCCACGGUUCUUUACGCUGCUGGAGCAGAUGACAAUGCGCUCGCAAACUACUUGUCGUCUGUGUUGAAAGGAUCUGCUCGAUCAUGGCUAGUUCAUCUCCUACCCUGCUCGAUCUCAGUUCGUCGCCAACUUUCAGGGUACAUACAAGUGCCACGCGAUCGAGGAAGACCUUCACAAUUUAACUCAACCCAGGUGAAUGUUUGAGGGACUAUAUUCGGCGGUUCAAUGAAUAUAGAAAUCUGUCUCAAAGGAAUCUGCCCCAUUAAGGGGAUUUGACUAGGUCAUGCGCAUUACUUUACCCCACCAUUUCACAUUAAUUGCGGGGUGAUAUGAAUAUUGAUAGCAGACCACAUACAAUGUGAGAAACGUGGCCAUGCAUGCUACCUCUCACACGCCCACGUCUUCCUGGAGAAAAAGGUGUGCGACGUGGCACGCCCUCAACUAUCACCCCACUACCCCCUCCCCCUUUGUUAGCUUUGGUGGCUAAUAGGUAGGCUGAUGGACAACUAAGAUGAAGACUUUUGCAGCCCUGCUCCACAUGUCAGCCGUUUGGUAAGCCCGUCCCAUCUGACCAGCCUACUUGGAGGGACAGUGACAAGACUAAGCAUAACAACCCCUAUGUACUGGGUCCCACUUCCGCAUGCAUGCAUGGGGAGGAUCCAUGUCUCUGAGAAAAAAAAAAGUUCGACUCCCUGGAGUAGACUAAGUUCAUACACUCCCACUUAGCACAUUCCCCCUACACCUGUUGUAAAUCUUGUUCAUCAUCACAUAGAGUAAGAACAUAAGAGUAGGGUAUUACGCUUCUCAGCCCGAACCUAUAUAAACCACCUGUCCCACCUUCUUUCUCUUGCAUCCUGGCCACAAGCUUAGAACCUGCACCUUGGCCGAACUCUGAAGGGAAGGUAUCUUGCAUUCCCACUAGAGGAGCUCCGUGCUCCGACACGUUGUCUAGAAGAGGGAUGAGAUAGCGCCAUUAGCCUGAUAACAGUUUGCUCAUUGAGCUUUUUUCAUUUUUUCCCCUGUGUUGUUGCUAUUUGUAAAGAGAUCUUUUACAGUGUUUGCGAGGUACUUGGAGGUGGAACAACGUGAACCAUUGAUAAGAGAGGGGCAAGGUACGGAACAAAAAUAUUGUAACAUGAUGGCAGUGGAGUAAUUAACUUGUAAAACAUGGGCAUUAUACGUUAAUUGAAUACUAACAUCCAUCUGUCAGUAUUCAGAUCGGUAAGUCAGUAUCCAGAUCGGUAAGCCAUCAGAGAAAAGAGUAAAUCACGGAUAUCAAUCCGAUUGAUCCGUAACAGAUCGCAUCUCCAUUCUUCUUUCCCUUGGGUUCGUUCUUGUUCUAGGGUUUGGAUGUUUCACUGGAAGGAGACAGGUUCGCCAAAAGGAGACAGAGAGAAAAGUUUUGGCAUGGUUGAGGGUUGAAGAGGAGACUAGAUCGCCUGGUCAACGUCAACCUAACGCAUCGUGUUUUAACGGGUGUACCCACGAGGAGACACGGUUGAGGAAGAAGCUCUGGUAUGGUUGAGCGUUUGAACAGGAGGCAAGAUCUAAUUGACAUGUACAGGGUUUGAAUAGGUGAACUUGCUUGGUGACAUAAUUGAGGGAGAAGCAUUGGCACUGUCUUGUGUUUGAAUAUGAGACAUAAUCUGAUUGACACGUACGUAACAAGUGCAUAGGUUUUAAGCUCUGAUGGAGGAUACAGGGAUAUCGGUUGAGGAAUUGUUGGAGUACCAACAAAUUGUCAGCAAGACAUUCAAUAGUGAGGAUGAAGGAAUUCACUUCUACAACAAGUACGCUUGGGAUAAAGGCUUUAGCAUAAGAAAAUCAUAUGCUGAAAGAAGAAAUGCCGCAAAAGAGGUCAAACGGAAAAGAACCUAUGACCUUUUGUUGUAAAAAGGCUGUUGUUGAUGAAGUUUGUCUGACAUAUUUAUCUAGCGGGUAUGAUAUUGGUGUUUGUGAGCAUGCUCACCAUGAGUCAGACUACUUGUGUUGAUAUGUUGUUGGUUAACUUGACAUAGCAUGUUCAAUUGGAGGCAAGUAUCAUAAAUUGAUGAAAUGUAUAAUUUAAAUUGAUGCUAACCUUGGGUGAUAUUUUAACUGGUCAUGUUUCUGAAACACAAUAUAAAUAUCUUGCUAGAAACAAACUAUAAUU
Molecule: non-coding RNA, 4744 nt
Organism: Oryza sativa Japonica Group (Japanese rice)
Lineage: Eukaryota; Viridiplantae; Streptophyta; Magnoliopsida; Poales; Poaceae
Source: RefSeq, a predicted model, not a curated record